ACAACAACACUCGAAAUGGUUAAUUAGUUUCUUGAUUUUUUCAAAAUUCAUUUUAGAAGAAGUGGUCAUCCUCGUACCGAGUGUAAUUUGUAGCGUAUAUCUCAUUUCUUCCUAUAAAUAGAGGACAAUUUUAGUACUUGAUCAUCCAUAUCUAAAUCAUAGCGAAAGUAAGAUUUAUAGUAUCAAACUAAAGGAAGAAGUUCUAUCGAAUAUAAACAGAAAUCAUGGCCAAGAUGAGUAUCUUCUUUUGCUUCUUCUUAUUCGUCUUGAUUGCCAUGCCUUCAGCCUCUUCUGCGAGCAGGAGGCUACUCCGAUCGGAAACGUGCCCAAGAGUACCUACGUCGCCAUCGUCAUGCCAAGGAAUUGUGUGCCCACGACAAGUUAUUUGCAUAGCAAGUCUGCUAAUCUGCCCAGACGAUCAGUAUGCUUUCAAGCCAUGCUGCAGCUGCCAAAGAUGUUGUCCUCUUUAAAUUACCUAAUCGGACACUGUUUGUACUGCGGUUUUACUGUACCUUGGUAAUUGUUGUGUGUGUGGAUGGAUUUUUACUGUAAUAAUCGGUGUGUGUGGAUGGUGUGGUGUUUGAUUAAUUUGAUGUAGUUUUGAUUAAUUUGAUGUAAUUUACUAUGUAUAUGCCCAUGUUUGUAGUUUCUCUACCAUAAAUUUGAAGUGCCUUGCCUGUUUUUGUUGGAAA
Molecule: long non-coding RNA, 692 nt
Organism: Papaver somniferum (opium poppy)
Lineage: Eukaryota; Viridiplantae; Streptophyta; Magnoliopsida; Ranunculales; Papaveraceae
Exons: 2
Source: RefSeq, a predicted model, not a curated record